AAAGUUUGAUCCUGGCUCAAUAWUCAWSACUGGCGGSRUGCCUCMGACAUGCUUKUCRAACSAUUAAAGCUCUCUUCGGAGAGUGUAUAKACUGGCRCACGGGUGAGUAACCCGUAWKUAAUCUACCCUCUAGUGGGGAAUAACGUCCGGAAACAGACGCUWAUACCCCWUAWUGCAGCGGCMCCGCCAGGWGACWRUUGKUAUGSAUUUAUCGCUUGAGGAKGASCUUGCRSCRAAUUAKCUAKGUGGYARGGUAAUGGCUUACCCASGCUAGAAUCUGUAACCGGUCUAAGAGGACGGUCGGGGGACUGACACUGAAUAACGGGUCARACUCCUACGGGAGGCAGCAKUCGGGAAUUUUGGGUUGUGGGCGACAGCCUGAUACAGCAACGCCGCGUGAAGGAUGAAGUAUUUCGGUAUGUAAACCUCGAAAGAAUAGGAAGAAUAAAUGACGGUACUAUUUAUAAGGUCCGGCUAACUACGUGCCAGCAGCCGCGGUAAUACGUAGGGACCAAGCGUUGUUCGGAUUUACUGGGCGUAAAGGGCGCGUAGGCGGCUUAACAAGUCACUUGUGAAAUCUCUGAGCUUAACUCAGAACGGCCAAGUGAAACUGUUAUGCUAGAGUGCAGAAGGGGCAAUCGGAAUUCUUGGUGUAGCGGUGAAAUGCGUAGAUAUCAAGAGGAACACCUGAGGUGAAGACGGGUUGCUGGGCUGACACUGACGCUGAGGCGCGAAAGCCAGGGGAGCAAACGGGAUUAGAUACCCCGGUAGUCCUGGCCCUAAACGAUGAAUACUUGGUGUCUGGAGUUAUUAGUGCUCCGGGUGCCGUCGCUAACGUUUUUAGUAUUCYGYCUGGGGAGUAYGCUCGCWAGAGUGAAACUCAAAGGAAUUGACGGGGACCCGCACAAGCGGUGSAGCAWGKGGCUUUAAUUCGACGCAACGCGAAGAACCUUACUUAGGCUAGAAUKKUGAGGGAAUGUUGGGUUAACMCCAUCAGUCUGGGAAACAGACCUAAACAGGUGCUGCWUGCUGUCGUCAGCYCGUGWCGKGAAUGCUUGAUUAGUCCCGCASGAGSSCAACUCGUWUUGUACUGCUWACAGUAUUGUGCGAACUUUACGUAAGACKCCCGUUUUGUAUAAAACGAAGAAAGGGKCGGAAAAUAAGUUUCUA
Molecule: ribosomal RNA, 1170 nt
Filed under: uncultured bacterium
Lineage: Bacteria
Description: partial 16S ribosomal RNA
Rfam family: Bacterial small subunit ribosomal RNA
Source: RNAcentral